RNAcentral lists this ribosomal RNA (2474 nucleotides) under Salmonella enterica subsp. enterica serovar Typhimurium. RNAcentral's name for it is "partial 23S ribosomal RNA". It matches the Rfam family "Bacterial large subunit ribosomal RNA", at positions 562 to 2925 of the family's 2925-position model. Lineage: Bacteria; Pseudomonadati; Pseudomonadota; Gammaproteobacteria; Enterobacterales; Enterobacteriaceae. The record is from RNAcentral.
ACGUACAAGCAGUGGGAGCACAGGUUUACCUGUGUGACUGCGUACCUUUUGUAUAAUGGGUCAGCGACUUAUAUUCUGUAGCAAGGUUAACCGUAUAGGGGAGCCGUAGGGAAACCGAGUCUUAACCGGGCGUUAAGUUGCAGGGUAUAGACCCGAAACCCGGUGAUCUAGCCAUGGGCAGGUUGAAGGUUGGGUAACACUAACUGGAGGACCGAACCGACUAAUGUUGAAAAAUUAGCGGAUGACCUGUGGCUGGGGGUGAAAGGCCAAUCAAACCGGGAGAUAGCUGGUUCUCCCCGAAAGCUAUUUAGGUAGCGCCUCGUGAAUUCAUCUCCGGGGGUAGAGCACUGUUUCGGCUAGGGGGCCAUCCCGGCUUACCAACCCGAUGCAAACUGCGAAUACCGGAGAAUGUUAUCACGGGAGACACACGGCGGGUGCUAACGUCCGUCGUGAAGAGGGAAACAACCCAGACCGCCAGCUAAGGUCCCAAAGUCAUGGUUAAGUGGGAAACGAUGUGGGAAGGCCCAGACAGCCAGGAUGUUGGCUUAGAAGCAGCCAUCAUUUAAAGAAAGCGUAAUAGCUCACUGGUCGAGUCGGCCUGCGCGGAAGAUGUAACGGGGCUAAACCAUGCACCGAAGCUGCGGCAGCGAACGUAUCACCCAAGACAACUUUACGGAGUUGACGAUUGACGGAGCGAAGCGACGUCAAAGCGUUCAUUAAAGUCGAGUUGGCUUAGGGAUACGUUCGUUGGGUAGGGGAGCGUUCUGUAAGCCUGUGAAGGUGUGUCGUGAGGCAUGCUGGAGGUAUCAGAAGUGCGAAUGCUGACAUAAGUAACGAUAAAGCGGGUGAAAAGCCCGCUCGCCGGAAGACCAAGGGUUCCUGUCCAACGUUAAUCGGGGCAGGGUGAGUCGACCCCUAAGGCGAGGCCGAAAGGCGUAGUCGAUGGGAAACGGGUUAAUAUUCCCGUACUUGGUGUUACUGCGAAGGGGGGACGGAGAAGGCUAUGUUGGCCGGGCGACGGUUGUCCCGGUUUAAGCGUGUAGGUGUGUGUUCCAGGUAAAUCCGGUUCACUUUAACACUGAGGCGUGACGACGAGGCACUACGGUGCUGAAGCAACAAAUGCCCUGCUUCCAGGAAAAGCCUCUAAGCAUCAGGUAACAUCAAAUCGUACCCCAAACCGACACAGGUGGUCAGGUAGAGAAUACCAAGGCGCUUGAGAGAACUCGGGUGAAGGAACUAGGCAAAAUGGUGCCGUAACUUCGGGAGAAGGCACGCUGACACGUAGGUGAAGUGAUUUACUCAUGGAGCUGAAGUCAGUCGAAGAUACCAGCUGGCUGCAACUGUUUAUUAAAAACACAGCACUGUGCAAACACGAAAGUGGACGUAUACGGUGUGACGCCUGCCCGGUGCCGGAAGGUUAAUUGAUGGGGUCAGCGCAAGCGAAGCUCCUGAUCGAAGCCCCGGUAAACGGCGGCCGUAACUAUAACGGUCCUAAGGUAGCGAAAUUCCUUGUCGGGUAAGUUCCGACCUGCACGAAUGGCGUAAUGAUGGCCAGGCUGUCUCCACCCGAGACUCAGUGAAAUUGAACUCGCUGUGAAGAUGCAGUGUACCCGCGGCAAGACGGAAAGACCCCGUGAACCUUUACUAUAGCUUGACACUGAACAUUGAGCCUUGAUGUGUAGGAUAGGUGGGAGGCUUUGAAGUGUGGACGCCAGUCUGCAUGGAGCCGACCUUGAAAUACCACCCUUUAAUGUUUGAUGUUCUAACGUGGACCCGUAAUCCGGGUUGCGGACAGUGUCUGGUGGGUAGUUUGACUGGGGCGGUCUCCUCCUAAAGAGUAACGGAGGAGCACGAAGGUUGGCUAAUCCUGGUCGGACAUCAGGAGGUUAGUGCAAUGGCAUAAGCCAGCUUGACUGCGAGCGUGACGGCGCGAGCAGGUGCGAAAGCAGGUCAUAGUGAUCCGGUGGUUCUGAAUGGAAGGGCCAUCGCUCAACGGAUAAAAGGUACUCCGGGGAUAACAGGCUGAUACCGCCCAAGAGUUCAUAUCGACGGCGGUGUUUGGCACCUCGAUGUCGGCUCAUCACAUCCUGGGGCUGAAGUAGGUCCCAAGGGUAUGGCUGUUCGCCAUUUAAAGUGGUACGCGAGCUGGGUUUAGAACGUCGUGAGACAGUUCGGUCCCUAUCUGCCGUGGGCGCUGGAGAACUGAGGGGGGCUGCUCCUAGUACGAGAGGACCGGAGUGGACGCAUCACUGGUGUUCGGGUUGUCAUGCCAAUGGCACUGCCCGGUAGCUAAAUGCGGAAGAGAUAAGUGCUGAAAGCAUCUAAGCACGAAACUUGCCCCGAGAUGAGUUCUCCCUGAGACUUAGAGUCUCCUGAAGGAACGUUGAAGACGACGACGUUGAUAGGCCGGGUGUGUAAGCGCAGCGAUGCGUUGAGCUAACCGGUACUAAUGAACCGUGAGGCUUAACCUUACA